CCUGCCUGCCCUGCCACCCCUGCCACGCUCUGCUUGGCCACUUGAGUCUGUCUGGAACGCCGAGCAGAAAUGACUCUUUGAAGAGAUGAGAAGCACAGGGGGCCCAUCGGGUGAUGGACGUUGCGACUCUCGGAUUUAGCACGAAGUAUGGCACAUACAGCGUUUACUCCAACACCCUGAACAAGAAUGUGCACACAGGGCAAGUACAAGUUGGUGAGAAUGACGCAGUGCAGACAAGCUCGCACAUGGAGAAGGUUGGCUUCGCAAGAGGCUUCACUUACCUGUAAGUAAACAACAUAGAUGUGUUAUCAUUCACCACAGAUCGGCAUGUGUCCAUCAUGAAAGGGAUGGCAUCUAAUCACCCAGAUGUCAACCACUACUUCAAUGUGUGGCACUUCGCAAAGGGCAUCACAAACAAGCAGCGAGCAAACGCCGCCCUCAAAACAAAGAUCUAAAAAAAGGAUACAAAAAGUGACGAAUGAUUUGUACUG
Ixodes scapularis (black-legged tick) is the source of this 491-nucleotide RNA transcript. RefSeq lists it as uncharacterized. The transcript has 4 exons. Lineage: Eukaryota; Metazoa; Arthropoda; Arachnida; Ixodida; Ixodidae. The record is from RefSeq and is a predicted model, not a curated record.